CCUACGGGGGGCUGCAGUGGGGAAUAUUGGACAAUGGGCGAAAGCCUGAUCCAGCCAUGCCGCGUGUGUGAAGAAGGCCUUCGGGUUGUAAAGCACUUUCAGUGGGGAAGAAAGCCUUGGGGCUAAUACCCUCGAGGAAGGACAUCACCCACAGAAGAAGCACCGGCUAACUCCGUGCCAGCAGCCGCGGUAAUACGGAGGGUGCGAGCGUUAAUCGGAAUUACUGGGCGUAAAGCGCGCGUAGGCGGUCUGAUAAGCCGGUUGUGAAAGCCCCGGGCUCAACCUGGGAACGGCAUCCGGAACUGUCAGGCUAGAGUGCAGGAGAGGAAGGUAGAAUUCCCGGUGUAGAGGUGAAAUGCGUAGAGAUCGGGAGGAAUACCAGUGGCGAAGGCGGCCUUCUGGACUGACACUGACGCUGAGGUGCGAAAGCGUGGGUAGCAAACAGGAUUAGAUACCCGAGUAGUC
Molecule: ribosomal RNA, 465 nt
Filed under: Vreelandella stevensii
Lineage: Bacteria; Pseudomonadati; Pseudomonadota; Gammaproteobacteria; Oceanospirillales; Halomonadaceae
Description: partial 16S ribosomal RNA
Rfam family: Bacterial small subunit ribosomal RNA
Source: RNAcentral